UACGGGGGGAGCAAGCGUUGUUCGAAUUUACUGGGCGUAAAGGGCGCGUAGGCGGUCAGCACAAGUCAGUUGUGAAAUCUCCGGGCUUAACUCGGAAAGGUCAACUGAUACUGUGCGACUAGAGUGCAGAAGGGGCAACUGGAAUUCUCGGUGUAGCGGUGAAAUGCGCAGAGAUCGGGAGGAACACCCGUAGCGAAGGCGGCACUCUGGGCCGGUACUGACGCUGAGGAGCGAAAGCGUGGGGAGCAAACAGG
This 254-nucleotide ribosomal RNA is filed under the name uncultured bacterium. RNAcentral describes it as "partial 16S ribosomal RNA". It matches the Rfam family "Bacterial small subunit ribosomal RNA", at positions 524 to 776 of the family's 1533-position model. The record is from RNAcentral.